GACAGAGGUGCCGAGCGUUAGGCGGAAUCACUGGGCUUAAAGCGCGUGUAGGCGGGUCGUUAAGUGCCUCGUGAAAUCCCACGGCUCAACCGUGGAACCGCGGGGCAUACUGGCGAUCUUGAGAGACCCAGGGGCGAGCGGAACAAGUGGUGGAGCGGUGAAAUGCGUAGAUAUCUGGAGGAAUACCGGUGGCGAAGGCGGCAUCCUGGACCGGCAUUGACGCUGAUGAGCGAAAGCUAGGGGAGCAAACGGG
RNAcentral lists this ribosomal RNA (253 nucleotides) under uncultured bacterium. Its description in RNAcentral is "partial 16S ribosomal RNA". It matches the Rfam family "Bacterial small subunit ribosomal RNA", at positions 524 to 776 of the family's 1533-position model. The record is from RNAcentral.